GUCCAAGUAAAGUAUUCUCAUCCACUUGGGAACAUCAAGAUUUAAAUGAAUGCCUGUGAUAUUCCACAACUUCUGGAAACUUCGAAUUAUUUGCACUGCAUAUCUCCAAAUGAAUGAUAAACGCCUGUGCCACUUUUUGCCAAAAUGAAUAAAUGCUGCUUUAAAAGUUUCUUUGGCUGAUACAGGGAAAAUACUGCAUGGCUCCACUUUAUCAGUUCUUGCAAUAACAUCAUCAACUGGCAUA
Molecule: unclassified non-coding RNA, 244 nt
Filed under: Hevea brasiliensis (rubber tree)
Lineage: Eukaryota; Viridiplantae; Streptophyta; Magnoliopsida; Malpighiales; Euphorbiaceae
Source: RNAcentral